This 253-nucleotide ribosomal RNA is filed under the name uncultured bacterium. RNAcentral's name for it is "partial 16S ribosomal RNA". It matches the Rfam family "Bacterial small subunit ribosomal RNA", at positions 524 to 776 of the family's 1533-position model. The record is from RNAcentral.
UACAGAGGGUGCGAGCGUUAAUCGGAAUUACUGGGCGUAAAGCGUGCGUAGGUGGUUUGUUAAGUCUGAUGUGAAAGCCCUGGGCUCAACCUGGGAAUUGCAUUGGAUACUGGCAGGCUAGAGUGCGGUAGAGGAUGGCGGAAUUCCCGGUGUAGCAGUGAAAUGCGUAGAGAUCGGGAGGAACAUCUGUGGCGAAGGCGGCCAUCUGGACCAGCACUGACACUGAGGCACGAAAGCGUGGGGAGCAAACAGG